This 2470-nucleotide unclassified non-coding RNA is filed under the name Hevea brasiliensis (rubber tree). Lineage: Eukaryota; Viridiplantae; Streptophyta; Magnoliopsida; Malpighiales; Euphorbiaceae. The record is from RNAcentral.
GGUAAGAAUGAUCGUCUCGUGCAAAUUCGCAGUUGUUUCAUCGUCUCCGCUGACCUUCAAUUUUGCCUCCUCUUUCCUUCCGACAGCUUUAUAAAUAUAUGCACAUGAGGCCUAUUUGGUCUCCAGAUUCAAAAGUAUAAGAGUUGAUCUCUUCUUGCGGAGGCCUUAACCAAGAAAUGGCUUCUAUUAACGUCCCUUCUUGCUCUUCAACAACUGCCAGAACAGCUCUCCCUUGUACCCAGGCAUGGAGAAACUUCAAAUUGUUCAAUGGAUUACAUGUAGUGAAUUCAUUUUCCACAAAUGGGUGCACAUUGAACGCCAAUUUCAUCUGCAUUAAUGGUACUAAAUCUCCCUUCAGUAUUAAGGGUGUUGGCAAAAUUCAAGCAGCAGUAGUAUCUGAUGAAGGUGACCUGUUGUCCUAUUCCAAUGGCAAUAAUGCUGCAGCAAAGAGGACUUUAAUUGAUAACAAACCAGUUGAAAUUAAAUUACAGCCUGAUGCAAUAGCAUUUGGAACCCUUGUAGCAGAUACUGCUACCAUCCUCAGUGGCUUCCCUAUCGAUAAUGAUGAGUUUGAUUUGGAUCGCCCCACAGAAGGUUUUUCCUCCAUACCUGAGGCCAUUGAGGAUAUUCGUCAAGGAAAGAUGGUAGUGGUUGUAGACGACGAAGACAGAGAAAAUGAAGGGGAUCUUAUCAUGGCAGCACAGUUGGCAACACCUGAAGCCAUGGCUUUUAUUGUGAAGCAUGGUACUGGAAUAGUUUGUGUGAGCAUGGCUGGUGAAUAUCUUGACAGGUUGCAACUCCCUUUAAUGGUUACCCAAAAUGAAAAUGAUGAAAAACUUUGCACUGCAUUCACAGUGACAGUGGACGCCAAACAUGGUACAACCACAGGGGUUUCAGCUCAUGACAGGGCAACAACCGUGUUAGCUUUGGCAAACAGAGAUUCAAAGCCUGAGGACUUCAACCGACCAGGCCAUAUUUUUCCAUUGAGGUACAGGGAGGGUGGCGUUUUGAAAAGAGCUGGACAUACAGAAGCUUCUGUUGAUCUUGCUGUUCUAGCUGGAUUGGACCCUGUUGGAGUUCUAUGUGAGAUUGUAGAUGAUGAUGGCUCCAUGGCUAGAUUGCCAAAGCUUCGUCAAUUUGCGCAGCAGGAGAAUUUAAAAAUUAUAUCUAUUGCUGAUUUAAUCAGGUAUAGGAGGAAGAGAGAGAAAUUAGUAGAUCGUUCUUCUGCUGCUCGGAUACCAACAAUGUGGGGUCCAUUUACAGCUUACUGUUAUAGGUCAAUAUUAGAUGGCAUUGAACAUAUUGCAAUGGUUAAGGUCAGAAAUGUUUAGAAUUUGAUACUAAAGCUAUUUCAAAUUCUUUUGGGAUCUUAUCCAAAAUUAUGGUAGAAUAUAAGUUGCUAGACUGCUCAUGUUUUCAGUUUAAAAUGAUUUAUAAGACCAGUAAGUCUGAAAAGAACACUGCUCCUAUGAGUCACAAAUGUCAUAAAUAAUCAUGUACAUUUACUGCCUAGUGGUCUUUCUUGUAAGGGCAUUUAGAUAUAGGACCUACCCUUGUGUUUUCAUCUAGAAAUCUGAUUUAUCCUCCUUUUCUUUUUCAACUUUCUGAACACUUACUCAAUUUAUGAGAAGAUUCUUUAUCCUCUUUAGGCAAUUAUUGUCCUUUCUUCUCAUAAUAAUUAUUUUAUUUGGUAAUGAGCUCACCUUUGAAUUAAGCUGGUCAUUUGUUUUUGGAACUUGUUUGUUUGUGUGCGGAAAAGAGAAUUUGUAAUUUACAGCCAUCUCAAACCCCCCACCACUCUUUCCUCCCCACCACAAGCCGCACACAACCCACAAUAAAUAUAUUUUGGGGGGAGGUGGGAUGGGGUAGUACUGAUGAUAUUUCUACCUUUUCUUUAUUCAAAUUUAUUUUUCUAAAAAAAGCAUCCUAUCCUAGGGCAUUUUAGGAAAAUGGAUAUCUUAUUAUUAGCAUUCCACACAAUCAUAUUGGCUGCAUUCAUUAACAACAAUUAUGACAUUGGACUAACUGUUAUGAUUAAUUCAAAAUAUGGGAUGGGAUGGGAUGGUAAUUUCUAGACAGUGUGAUCAUGACUUGUAAGAAUUGAAAUGUAAUCUACCUUUAAAAAUAGUGGGAAUACAAUUUUGUAAUUUUCAUUGAAAGAAAUUAAGUGUUGUCUUGUUGUUGUACAAUUCAAAUGCAAACAGGCAUCCAUUCUUAUUAUAUUCUGUUUAAAUUGGAAGGUUCUUACUUGUAAGCAACUUUGUUGUCCAAACAGGGUGAGAUUGGAGAUGGGCAGGAUAUUCUUGUGAGGGUACAUUCAGAGUGCCUCACAGGAGACAUAUUUGGUUCUGCCAGAUGCGACUGUGGGAACCAGCUGGCACUUGCAAUGCAGCAGAUUGAGGCUGCUGGCAGGGGUGUGCUGAUAUACCUCCGGGGGCAUGAAGGAAGAGGAAUUGGUUUGGGCCACAAG